UUUUACUCAUCAAACAACAGCGCAAAGUAGUUCACAACAUGAAGAAAUUAUGACAAAAUGACUUGACAUUGACCUUCUUGACAAAAAUCUCAUUAGUUUCCUCCUUCAAAUUGCCACUGAAAUGAUUUUCAAUUAAGCUUCCAUGAAGAUAGAAUGCAAGGCUUGCUUACACCUAUAUGGGAAUUUGGGCCGGCACCAUAAUAAAACCCGGGCUAUAAGUAUAACACCCCAACUCAAACUUCCCAUUGAAUAACAAUAUAUAUAUAUAUAUAACUUUAUAAACAUAAUUUACUACUUAGUUACAAUAUACAUUCAUACAAUUUAAGUGGCAUGACAUACUUAAUAUAUAUAAGAAAUAUUUAUACAGUAGUUUAAUUCACACAAGUUUCCAAAAUGCCCCAAUGCUUUAGAUAACUCCUCUGGCCCACCUGAUAAUAUUGACUGAUGCAAAAAGAGCAAUGCACAGCUAAGGCUAUCUACAACUGCACUAACCUGAAAAAAAAAAAAUUGCUAAGGAAUGAGCUAGCGACUCAAUAAGCAUUUAAUUUACUAAACUAUAGUAUAUUAGGCUAGAAUUAUCAAAUCUUUAUCAAUACAGAAAAUUAUACCAACACUUAACUAACAAUCACAAAAUCAACCAUUUCAGUUAUUCUCAUAAACAUAUAAUUUCAUCUCACGUAAUGCAAAUAAUCUCAAACUCAACCAAGUCAAAUAAUUCAAUUCCACAUUAUUUCUAUCAAAUUAGGAUCAGAUGACUCAUCCUUACAUUUCCUCACAUUUUUAAAUUUCAGUAACCACUUGACAAGACUAUCCGCCCGGCUCAGUCUUGCCAUCUCACAUACUCGGGUAGCUAUCCGCCCGGCUCAGCUUUCCCGAUCACACAAUAUCCAUACAAAAGUCAUCAAUCCUUAAUCACAAUCAUUUCACUUCACAACACAUCACAAUCAAUUCACUUCACAACACAUCACAAUCAAUUCACUUUAUAACAAGCCAAAAACAUAACUAAUAGCAACUCAGUCAACCAAGAAAUUAUCAAGUAAUCAAACAGCAGUCCCUACUCAAUAUACACAAAGUUUAGUCUAUUAAAUACUUACCAGAAGUUAUAGGAUAACAAAGUAAUCCUAUUCUUUUUCUCUUCCCACUUCCUUGCCUUUGGAUGAACCUAUUCACAUAUUCAAUACAAAUACAAUUCAAUCACAAGGCAUAAAUAUAUAUAUAUAUAUAUAUUUACUAUCAAUAAAAUAUCACAUUUCAACAAAAUAACAUAUAUUCUAGAUAUUAAUAUGAUGCAUGAGAUGAAUGACAACAAAUCAACAUAUUUGUUGAUGAAGGCAGCUUGUAGGUACUGACUUAGAAAUUACACCAAAACUUAUGUACAAUUAAUAAAAAUCUCAUAUUUUUCAGAAUUACACUUCCAUUUUUAUAGAAACCAUAGCAGAAAGAAUCACCUCAAAAUCAUUGGUAUAGAAAUAGUUAUGGCAUUUUCUAUACAGCUGCUCAAAUUUCUAUCUAAACAGAACAGAAAAAAGUUUCCUAUUAAAUGACCAAUCAAACAAAUGAAUUUUCUGAUGAAACUCUCCAGAUAUAAAGUUAACAUUCUAAAGUUUCUAUAGACACUAAUUUUACUCAAUUUGGACUUUUCUAGCUCAAGUUGUGAAACACACAAUUAGCAACAAAUUUCUGAAUCCUAAGCCCGAUUUCUGCUUAAAACAGUUUCGGGCAGGCCAUAUUAAGUUCAACAUAUCUCACGUUAUACUCAACUAAAAAUUAUGAAAUUUUUCAGACAUAUACUACAUAUAUAAAUGAACAACUUUCAUGUUUAACUCUCUGCUUGGUUCAGCCUCUAAAUGCCUCAAAAUGUCAGCACAAAAACCAGGUCACCUGCUGAACCAAAAACAGAGCAGCAGCAAAAUCGAACCUCAUAAGUUCCUACUCACUCAACAAUCUGCAAAACCAUUUUAUAGAGAUAUUCUUGAGACAUAUACCUACAACUUUCAUGUUUGAAAAUUUUCGAGAUAAAGCCUCUAAGGUCACGAAAUCAUAAGUGAAAAAUCUGCCCAGAAAUUUCAGCUUCAAGAUCACAAGUAAAAGCAUGUUUACUCUUGAUUAAACAAUUCCAAAACACAUAAUCAUCAAUAAUUUCAUAUCAUUAACCCUAAUUUACAGCAAAAUCAAGCAAUUAAAAUUACUCACCUUUGUUUUUCUUGAUUAAGAAAGUCCAAAUCUUUCAAGCUUAAAAGAAGAAUUUGAUUUUCACUUACUAAAAAUUUUGUAGAGUUUGAUUUGGAAAAUCAAAGUUGAAGAAGGAAAGGAGAAAAAUAAGAGAGACAAAGAAGAAAAGGAAAUUGGAAAGCAU
This 2356-nucleotide long non-coding RNA is filed under the name Ricinus communis (castor bean). Its description in RNAcentral is "long non-coding RNA (RCOM_LNC002476)". Lineage: Eukaryota; Viridiplantae; Streptophyta; Magnoliopsida; Malpighiales; Euphorbiaceae. The record is from RNAcentral.